AUGGCGCCCUUGUUGCCGGCGCCUCUCUUGCUGCCGCUGGUUGUAGAGCCUUCAAAGAAGAAGAAAUUUGUGGAUUUGAAAUCAAUGUGGGGUAGAGCUGAAAAGAAACUGAAGUCUAUAGUUGAUAGCAAUAAUAUUUCUGAGCAUACAGCUGAGAGGAAAGACCCUGAACCUGCUACUAUACAUGCAUCUGCAACUAAAGAGAUUGGGUGUAGUAGAGCAUGUGAAGUUGGAUUUGCAGAAACAGAAACUCAAGUGCCCUAUGAAAGUAUAGAAGUAUCAAGACCUCAAGAUGUAGAUGGCAGCAUAGAA
RNAcentral lists this long non-coding RNA (312 nucleotides) under Oryza sativa Indica Group (long-grained rice). Its description in RNAcentral is "lncRNA OsZS97_04G007160". RNAcentral also lists the same sequence under 1 other name. The record is from RNAcentral. Lineage: Eukaryota; Viridiplantae; Streptophyta; Magnoliopsida; Poales; Poaceae.